RNAcentral lists this ribosomal RNA (494 nucleotides) under uncultured Sphingobacteriales bacterium. RNAcentral's name for it is "bacterial SSU rRNA". It matches the Rfam family "Bacterial small subunit ribosomal RNA", at positions 904 to 1382 of the family's 1533-position model. The record is from RNAcentral. Lineage: Bacteria; Pseudomonadati; Bacteroidota; Sphingobacteriia; Sphingobacteriales.
GCCAGCCCGCUCAGAACUUAAGGAAUUGACGGGGCCCGCACAAGCGGUGGAGCAUGUGGUUUAAUUCGAUGAUACGCGAGGAACCUUACCUGGGCUCAAAUGUAUGUUGACGUAUUCUGAAAGGGAUACUUCUUCGGACAAUAUACAAGGUGCUGCAUGGUUGUCGUCAGCUCGUGCCGUGAGGUGUCGGGUUAAGUCCCAUAACGAGCGCAACCCCUAUCAUUAGUUGCCAUCAGGUCAAGCUGGGGACUCUAAUGAAACUGCCUACGCAAGUAGUGAGGAAGGUGGGGAUGACGUCAAAUCAGCACGGCCCUUACGUCCAGGGCUACACACGUGCUACAAUGGCCGGUACAAAGGGCAGCUACCUGGUGACAGGAUGCUAAUCUCAAAAGCCGGUCUCAGUUCGGAUCGGAGUCUGCAACCCGACUCCGUGAAGCUGGAUUCGCUAGUAAUCGCGCAUCAGCCAUGGCGCGGUGAAUACGUUCCCGGGCCUU